Molecule: non-coding RNA, 119 nt
Organism: Pteropus alecto (black flying fox)
Lineage: Eukaryota; Metazoa; Chordata; Mammalia; Chiroptera; Pteropodidae
Source: Rfam
GUCUACGGCCAUGCUACUCUGAACAAGCCUGAUCCCGUCUGAUCUCAGAAGCUAAGCAGGGUCAGGCCUAGUCAGUACUUGGAUGGGAGACCACCUAGCAAGACCAGGUGCUGUAGGCA